CAUAGGUUAAUGAGGCGAACCGGGGGAACUGAAACAUCUAAGUACCCCGAGGAAAAGAAAUCAACCGAGAUUCCCCCAGUAGCGGCGAGCGAACGGGGAGCAGCCCAGAGCCUGAAUCAGUGUGUGUGUUAGUGGAAGCGUCUGGAAAGGCGCGCGAUACAGGGUGACAGCCCCGUACACAAAAAUGCACAUACUGUGAGCUCGAUGAGUAGGGCGGGACACGUGGUAUCCUGUCUGAAUAUGGGGGGACCAUCCUCCAAGGCUAAAUACUCCUGACUGACCGAUAGUGAACCAGUACCGUGAGGGAAAGGCGAAAAGAACCCCGGCGAGGGGAGUGAAAAAGAACCUGAAACCGUGUACGUACAAGCAGUGGGAGCACGCUUAGGCGUGUGACUGCGUACCUUUUGUAUAAUGGGUCAGCGACUUAUAUUCUGUAGCAAGGUUAACCGAAUAGGGGAGCCGAAGGGAAACCGAGUCUUAACUGGGCGUUAAGUUGCAGGGUAUAGACCCGAAACCCGGUGAUCUAGCCAUGGGCAGGUUGAAGGUUGGGUAACACUAACUGGAGGACCGAACCGACUAAUGUUGAAAAAUUAGCGGAUGACUUGUGGCUGGGGGUGAAAGGCCAAUCAAACCGGGAGAUAGCUGGUUCUCCCCGAAAGCUAUUUAGGUAGCGCCUCGUGAAUUCAUCUCCGGGGGUAGAGCACUGUUUCGGCAAGGGGGUCAUCCCGACUUACCAACCCGAUGCAAACUGCGAAUACCGGAGAAUGUUAUCACGGGAGACACACGGCGGGUGCUAACGUCCGUCGUGAAGAGGGAAACAACCCAGACCGCCAGCUAAGGUCCCAAAGUCAUGGUUAAGUGGGAAACGAUGUGGGAAGGCCCAGACAGCCAGGAUGUUGGCUUAGAAGCAGCCAUCAUUUAAAGAAAGCGUAAUAGCUCACUGGUCGAGUCGGCCUGCGCGGAAGAUGUAACGGGGCUAAACCAUGCACCGAAGCUGCGGCAGCGACGCUGAUGCGUUGUUGGGUAGGGGAGCGUUCUGUAAGCCUGCGAAGGUGUGCUGUGAGGCAUGCUGGAGGUAUCAGAAGUGCGAAUGCUGACAUAAGUAACGAUAAAGCGGGUGAAAAGCCCGCUCGCCGGAAGACCAAGGGUUCCUGUCCAACGUUAAUCGGGGCAGGGUGAGUCGACCCCUAAGGCGAGGCCGAAAGGCGUAGUCGAUGGGAAACAGGUUAAUAUUCCUGUACUUGGUGUUACUGCGAAGGGGGGACGG
This 1267-nucleotide ribosomal RNA is filed under the name Escherichia coli. RNAcentral's name for it is "partial 23S ribosomal RNA". It matches the Rfam family "Bacterial large subunit ribosomal RNA", at positions 165 to 1475 of the family's 2925-position model. The record is from RNAcentral. Lineage: Bacteria; Pseudomonadati; Pseudomonadota; Gammaproteobacteria; Enterobacterales; Enterobacteriaceae.